GAUACCCUAUAUUUGGUCUAUAUAGCAAGAGCAUAUCUCAGUUCUGAAAGGGAGAAACAUGGCGAAACUAAAUAUUCUUCUGGCGUUGGUGGUCCUCUGUUUGGUGGGUUUCGGCGACUGUGCAGAAUCUAAUAGUGCGGGAACCAGGUGGAGACAUUGGCCUAUUAACGAAGGCGGUCCAAGGUAUUAGACUAAUAUACCCGAUCUGCUAUCCAACAAUCAUAGCUACAGACAAUGCUCUUUGGGGAAUGCAGAGAAAUGCAAGAUAUGGUACCCUAGCCUGUAUCUUGUAUUGCGAAUAAGGAUUCUAAUCGCGGUUACUCAAAAAAAAAAUAUUCUUAA
Molecule: long non-coding RNA, 342 nt
Filed under: Penaeus japonicus
Lineage: Eukaryota; Metazoa; Arthropoda; Malacostraca; Decapoda; Penaeidae
Description: uncharacterized LOC122244946
Source: RNAcentral